CGGAGCGUGGCGCAGUCCGGUAGCGCACCUGCUUUGGGAGCAGGGGGUCGGGAGUUCAAAUCUCCCCGCUCCGACCC
This 77-nucleotide transfer RNA is filed under the name Fidelibacterota bacterium. Its description in RNAcentral is "tRNA-Pro". It matches the Rfam family "tRNA". Rfam says of the family: Transfer RNA (tRNA) molecules are approximately 80 nucleotides in length. Their secondary structure includes four short double-helical elements and three loops (D, anti-codon, and T loops). Lineage: Bacteria; Pseudomonadati; Fidelibacterota. The record is from RNAcentral.